ACACGGCGAGAGACUGAAAGAAAAGCAGCAAAGCCCUGGGUAAUCAAGGCCCUAAACGGAAAGUGUCAGGAUCUUGGGGAUCGUAUUGUAUAAAAUGGAUGAAAACAGAGCUAUUGGGUUUGAAGCACUCCUGAACCCUCUCAUGGAACCCUAUGUCUUCCUGGAGUCUACAGAGCUAUUGGGUUUGAAGCACUCCUGAACCGUCUAGUAGAACCCUAUGUCUUCCUGGAGUCUACAGAGCUAUUGGGUUUGAAGCACUCCUGAACCGUCUAGUAGAACCCUAUGUCUUCCUGGAGUUUACAGAAAAAGAGACUCAGGGAUUUUCCCAAAGCACACUGCAAGUUAGGGGCAGGAAUGACAGCCCAGACCUUCUGGUUUCCAGUCCAGGGCUCAACUGCCUAAACAGUGGCAUCU
Molecule: long non-coding RNA, 414 nt
Filed under: Homo sapiens (human)
Lineage: Eukaryota; Metazoa; Chordata; Mammalia; Primates; Hominidae
Description: non-protein coding lnc-IAH1-2:17
Source: RNAcentral